CUCUGGAGCUUGGGAAUUUAACCAGCCUAGACAAAAUGCUUCUUUCCUCAAACAAUUUUACUGGGAAGUUGCCCGAAACAUUUGCAAGGCUUACCACAUUAACGGACUCUCGGGUUGAUGACAAUCACUUUUCUGGGAAGAUACCUGAUUUC
Long non-coding RNA from Rosa chinensis, 152 nucleotides. RefSeq lists it as uncharacterized. The transcript is spliced from 3 exons. Lineage: Eukaryota; Viridiplantae; Streptophyta; Magnoliopsida; Rosales; Rosaceae. The record is from RefSeq and is a predicted model, not a curated record.